UAUGAACGCUGGCGGCGUGCCUAAUACAUGCAAGUCGAGCGAACAGACGAGGAGCUUGCUCCUCUGACGUUAGCGGCGGACGGGUGAGUAACACGUGGAUAACCUACCUAUAAGACUGGGAUAACUUCGGGAAACCGGAGCUAAUACCGGAUAAUAUAUUGAACCGCAUGGUUCAAUAGUGAAAGACGGUUUUGCUGUCACUUAUAGAUGGAUCCGCGCCGCAUUAGCUAGUUGGUAAGGUAACGGCUUACCAAGGCAACGAUGCGUAGCCGACCUGAGAGGGUGAUCGGCCACACUGGAACUGAGACCCGGUCCAGACUCCUACGGGAGGCAGCAGUAGGGAAUCUUCCGCAAUGGGCGAAAGCCUGACGGAGCAACGCCGCGUGAGUGAUGAAGGUCUUCGGAUCGUAAAACUCUGUUAUUAGGGAAGAACAAAUGUGUAAGUAACUAUGCACGUCUUGACGGUACCAAAUCAGAAAGCCACGGCUAACUACG
Molecule: ribosomal RNA, 495 nt
Filed under: uncultured bacterium
Lineage: Bacteria
Description: partial 16S ribosomal RNA
Rfam family: Bacterial small subunit ribosomal RNA
Source: RNAcentral